Molecule: long non-coding RNA, 283 nt
Organism: Eublepharis macularius
Lineage: Eukaryota; Metazoa; Chordata; Lepidosauria; Squamata; Eublepharidae
Exons: 3
Source: RefSeq, a predicted model, not a curated record
CGGAUCUUGGGCCAGCAGAAGGCGGCUGAGCAGCAGCAGUGGCCCGUCCUCGCCCGCUGCCGUCGCGCUGCCGCACAGCGGCCCAAGCAGUUAGCAGGAAGUGCAGAGAAAAAAAUGACCCAACAUCCAUGGUUAUUGGGGUCUUCCAGAGCAGACAGAAAAUGGCUCAUUACCAGAAGGAGAAAAAAAGAACUUCACGUUGGCACAUCAUCAUCCAUACUUGAUUACUGGCCUGGGUUCUGAACUCUCCUGAUAUUGCUGCUGAGAGUGGAGGUGGUUCAUG